AAGUCGUAACAAGGUUUCCGUAGGUGAACCUGCGGAAGGAUCAUUACAAUACUUUUACAAGUAUCCACCCAAAUUGUUGCACUGAAUGAGCGUCCGAUAGGAAAUACAAGUGGUUUGAGAGAAUUGGCGGCUUCGUGAAGUGCUUCGGCAUUUCGGUCAGUUCUCGAUUUCUCGCAAGCAAUUGUGUGAAAGCCCUUUUUUUUUCCUAGUUCGCGUAUUUUUUCUCCUUUUUUAAAUUUUUUUAACCCCUUUCACCAAAUUACAAUUUAAACAACUUUAUUGAACUGAAUUCGAAGGAUGCUGAAAAGCGUCUAAUUCGAUUCGAUCUUUUUACGAAAUGUAAGAACAACUCUUAACAACGGAUAUCUUGGCUCUC
This 376-nucleotide unclassified non-coding RNA is filed under the name fungal sp. RNAcentral's name for it is "partial internal transcribed spacer region". The stretch from base 1 to 46 matches the Rfam family "Eukaryotic small subunit ribosomal RNA", at positions 1786 to 1831 of the family's 1831-position model. Lineage: Eukaryota; Fungi. The record is from RNAcentral.